RNAcentral lists this long non-coding RNA (243 nucleotides) under Elaeis guineensis (African oil palm). Its description in RNAcentral is "long non-coding RNA (EGUI_LNC071987)". The record is from RNAcentral. Lineage: Eukaryota; Viridiplantae; Streptophyta; Magnoliopsida; Arecales; Arecaceae.
UUCAAAUCAAAAUAUUCAUAACUUAACAGCCUUGAUUAUGGCCAACGUUUAACCCCCAUUAGUGGGAUCCACUAAAUACCAGCACACAAUCUCCACUGAUAGGAUCCACUGAAUACCAGCACACAACUCUCACUAGUAGAGUCUACUAAAUACCAGUGCACAACCCUCCACUAGCGGGGUCCACUGAGUAUCAAUGUAUGAUCUCUAUUGGUGGGAUCCACUGAAACAUAGUUAGGCUGAGAG